UACGUAGUGUGCAAGCGUUGUCCGGAAUUAUUGGGCGUAAAGAGUUCGUAGGCGGUUUGUCGCGUCCGUUGUGAAAGCUUGGGGCUCAACCCCAGGUCUGCAGUGGAUACGGGCAGGCUAGAGUCAGGUAGGGGAGAACGGAAUUCCUGGUGUAGCGGUGAAAUGCGCAGAUAUCAGGAGGAAUACCGAUGGCGAAGGCAGGUCUCUGGGCUGACACUGACGCUCAUGCACGAAAGCGUGGGGAGCAAACAGG
This 253-nucleotide ribosomal RNA is filed under the name uncultured bacterium. RNAcentral's name for it is "partial 16S ribosomal RNA". It matches the Rfam family "Bacterial small subunit ribosomal RNA", at positions 524 to 776 of the family's 1533-position model. The record is from RNAcentral.